UACAGAGGUGGCAAGCGUUGUUCGGACUUACUGGGCGUAAAGGGCGAGUAGGCGGCCUUCUAAGUCAGACGUGACAUCCCCCGGCUUAACCUGGGAACUGCGUCUGAUACUGGGAGGCUAGAGUUUGGGAGAGGGAGGUAGAAUUCCAGGUGUAGCGGUGAAAUGCGUAGAUAUCUGGAGGAAUACCGGUGGCGAAGGCGGCCUCCUGGACCAAUACUGACGCUGAUCCGCGAAAGCUAGGGGAGCAAACGGG
RNAcentral lists this ribosomal RNA (253 nucleotides) under uncultured bacterium. RNAcentral describes it as "partial 16S ribosomal RNA". It matches the Rfam family "Bacterial small subunit ribosomal RNA", at positions 524 to 776 of the family's 1533-position model. The record is from RNAcentral.